RNAcentral lists this ribosomal RNA (178 nucleotides) under Escherichia coli. RNAcentral describes it as "partial 23S ribosomal RNA". The stretch from base 1 to 160 matches the Rfam family "Bacterial large subunit ribosomal RNA", at positions 2771 to 2925 of the family's 2925-position model. Lineage: Bacteria; Pseudomonadati; Pseudomonadota; Gammaproteobacteria; Enterobacterales; Enterobacteriaceae. The record is from RNAcentral.
CUGAAAGCAUCUAAGCACGAAACUUGCCCCGAGAUGAGUUCUCCCUGACCCUUUAAGGGUCCUGAAGGAACGUUGAAGACGACGACGUUGAUAGGCCGGGGGUGUAAGCGCAGCGAUGCGUUGAGCUAACCGGUACUAAUGAACCGUGAGGCUUAACCUUACAACGCCGAAGGUGUUU